CGAAAUUGCAAAUUUAAAGGACAAGUUACAAUUAGUUUCAAUAUUAGGAGCAGGACUCCUUGUUGGUACUGCGCUAGCGAUUAUACCUGACUGUACCUGAGGGUGUAAGAGCAUUAUUUACUGUGGAUGGUAUUAAUAAUGAAAAAGGCAAUUUACAUACUUUAACUUGGAAUUAGUUUAGUACUUGGUUUAUGCUUUUAAUUGAUCAAUGUUCAGCCAGAAAAAGUGGAGGAAGACAAGAAAAGUAUUACAGCAACUUUAGGUCUUAUAGUAGAUGCUGCUAGUUGAUUGGCGGUGUUGCAUUGGGAGCUGCUGCUACUACAUCUCAAGCUGAUGUCGAAGUGUCUUAGUUUUUCUUCGCAAUAAUGUUACACAAGGCGCCAGAUGCAUUUGGACUUGUGUCAAUUUCUUCUUCAUGAAGGUGUAGAUAGAAAGUAAGAAAAUAAGCAGACACUUAUUAAUUUUCUCUCUUGCGGCACCGUGUCUUGCACUUGUGACAUAUUUUGGAAUUGGAAAAGUAAUGUGAGUGAGUAAUG
RNAcentral lists this long non-coding RNA (536 nucleotides) under Camponotus floridanus (Florida carpenter ant). RNAcentral's name for it is "uncharacterized LOC112637900, transcript variant X6". Lineage: Eukaryota; Metazoa; Arthropoda; Insecta; Hymenoptera; Formicidae. The record is from RNAcentral.